UACGUAGGGUCCGAGCGUUGUCCGGAAUUACUGGGCGUAAAGAGCUCGUAGGUGGUUUGUCGCGUUGUUCGUGAAAACUCACAGCUCAACUGUGGGCGUGCGGGCGAUACGGGCAGACUUGAGUACUGCAGGGGAGACUGGAAUUCCUGGUGUAGCGGUGGAAUGCGCAGAUAUCAGGAAGAACACCUAUGGCGAAGGCAGCUCUCUGGGACGGUACUGACGCUGAGACGCGAAAGCGUGGGGAGCGAACAGG
This 253-nucleotide ribosomal RNA is filed under the name uncultured bacterium. RNAcentral describes it as "partial 16S ribosomal RNA". It matches the Rfam family "Bacterial small subunit ribosomal RNA", at positions 524 to 776 of the family's 1533-position model. The record is from RNAcentral.